AUUGAACGCUGGCGGCAGGCCUAACACAUGCAAGUCGAACGAGUGGCGGACGGGUGAGUAAUGUCUGGGAAACUGCCUGAUGGAGGGGGAUAACUACUGGAAACGGUAGCUAAUACCGCAUACCAUCAGAUGUGCCCAGAUGGGAUUCGCUAGUUGGUGGGGUAACGGCUCACCAAGGCGACGAUCCCUAGCUGGUCUGAGAGGAUGACCAGCCACACUGGAACUGUGACACGGACCAGACUCCUACGAGAUGCAGCAGGGGGGAAUAGUGCAAAAUGGGCGCAAGCCUGAUGCAGUAAUGCCGCGUGUAUGAAGAAGGCCUUCGGGUUGUAAAGUACUUUCGGCGGGGAGGCGUUACCCGCAGAAGAAGCAGCGGCUAACGCCGUGCCAGCAGCCGAGGUAAUAC
This 406-nucleotide ribosomal RNA is filed under the name uncultured bacterium. RNAcentral describes it as "partial 16S ribosomal RNA". It matches the Rfam family "Bacterial small subunit ribosomal RNA", at positions 30 to 526 of the family's 1533-position model. The record is from RNAcentral.